This 253-nucleotide ribosomal RNA is filed under the name uncultured bacterium. RNAcentral describes it as "partial 16S ribosomal RNA". It matches the Rfam family "Bacterial small subunit ribosomal RNA", at positions 524 to 776 of the family's 1533-position model. The record is from RNAcentral.
UACAUGGGGUGCAAACGUUGCUCGGAAUUAUUGGGCGUAAAGCGCGCGUAGGCGGUCGCUUAAGUCGGAUGUGAAAGCCCUUGGCUUAACCGAGGAAGUGCAUCCGAAACUGAGCAGCUAGAGUACGAAAGAGGGUCGCGGAAUUCCCGGUGUAGAGGUGAAAUUCGUAGAUAUCGGGAGGAACACCGGUGGCGAAGGCGGCGACCUGGGUCGAGACUGACGCUGAGGCGCGAAAGCGUGGGGAGCAAACAGG